GCGUCGUUUGUGCAAUUGGUUGAGCACGCGCCCUCCGGAAAGGGUGAGAUGCGGAUUCGAGUCCCGCACGACGUC
This is a non-coding RNA of Parelaphostrongylus tenuis, 75 nucleotides long. The record is from the annotation of a GenBank genome assembly. NCBI's taxonomy places the organism in Eukaryota, Metazoa, Nematoda, Chromadorea, Rhabditida, Metastrongylidae.